This 1499-nucleotide ribosomal RNA is filed under the name metagenome. RNAcentral's name for it is "bacterial SSU rRNA". It matches the Rfam family "Bacterial small subunit ribosomal RNA". The record is from RNAcentral.
AGAGUUUGAUCAUGGCUCAGAUUGAACGCUGGCGGCAUGCUUAAUACAUGCAAGUCGAGCGGCAGCGCGGGGGGCUUGCUCUCCGGCGGCGAGCGGCGGACGGGUGAGUAAAGCAUGGGAAUCUGCCCGGUAGUGGGGGACAACUCGGGGAAACCCGAGCUAAUACCGCAUACGACCUACGGGUGAAAGCGGGGGACCUUCGGGCCUCGCGCUAUCGGAUGAGCUCAUGUCGGAUUAGCUUGUUGGUGAGGUAAAGGCUCACCAAGGCGGCGAUCCGUAGCCGGCCUGAGAGGGUGAACGGCCACACCGGGACUGAGACACGGCCCGGACUCCUACGGGAGGCAGCAGUAGGGAAUAUUGGACAAUGGGGGCAACCCUGAUCCAGCAAUGCCGCGUGUGUGAAGAAGGCCUGCGGGUUGUAAAGCACUUUCAGCGGGGACGAAAAGCCUGCGGUUAAUAACUGCGGGUCUUGACUUAACCUGAAGAAGAAGCACCGGCUAACUCUGUGCCAGCAGCCGCGGUAAUACAGAGGGUGCGAGCGUUAAUCGGAAUUACUGGGCGUAAAGCGUGCGUAGGCGGUCAUUUAAGUCGGAUGUGGAAUCCCCGGGCUCAACCUGGGAAUUGCAUUCGAUACUGUAUGACUGGAGUACAGUAGAGGGAAGCGGAAUUCCGGGUGUAGCGGUGAAAUGCGUAGAUAUCCGGAGGAACAUCGGUGGCGAAGGCGUCUUCCUGGACUGAUACUGACGCUGAGGUACGAAAGCGUGGGGAGCAAACAGGAUUAGAUACCCUGGUAGUCCACGCCCUAAACGAUGUCAACUAGCUGUUGGGGGAAAUCAGUCCCUUAGUAGCGCAGCUAACGCGCUAAGUUGACCGCCUGGGGAGUACGGCCGCAAGGUUAAAACUCAAAUGAAUUGACGGGGGCCCGCACAAGCGGUGGAGCAUGUGGUUUAAUUCGAUGCAACGCGAAGAACCUUACCUGGCCUUGACAUCCCGGGAAUCCUUUAGAGAUAGAGGAGUGCCUUCGGGAACCUGGAGACAGGUGCUGCAUGGCUGUCGUCAGCUCGUGUCGUGAGAUGUUGGGUUAAGUCCCGCAACGAGCGCAACCCUUGUCCUUAGUUGCCAGCACUUCGGGUGGGAACUCUAAGGAGACUGCCGGUGACAAACCGGAAGAAGGUGGGGAUGACGUCAAGUCAUCAUGGCCCUUACGGCCAGGGCUACACACGUGCUACAACGGGCGGUACAGAGGGUUGCCAAGUCGCAAGGCGGAGCUAAUCCCGAAAAGCCGUCCGUAGUCCGGAUUGGAGUCUGCAACUCGACUCCAUGAAGUCGGAAUCGCUAGUAAUCGCAAAUCAGAAUGUUGCGGUGAAUACGUUCCCGGGCCUUGUACACACCGCCCGUCACACCAUGGGAGUGAAUUGCAAAAGAAGUGGAUAGCUUAACCUUCGGGAGGGCGUUCACCACUUUGUGAUUCAUGACUGGGGUGAAGUCGUAACAAGGUA